AACGCACAUUGCGCCCCUUGGCAUUCCAGGGGGCAUGCCUGUCUGAGCGUCACUUGCACACCUUAAGCUCUGCUUAGUUCUGGGCACCGCCGCCGGCGAGCCCUAAAUCUGGCAGCGGACCACACGGCGCCCUGGCGUAGUCACGCCUCGCCUAGGGCGCCUGCGCGGCCCGCUGUGACUAACUGGUUGACCUCAGAUCAGGCAGGAAUACCCGCUGAACUUAA
RNAcentral lists this unclassified non-coding RNA (224 nucleotides) under uncultured fungus. Its description in RNAcentral is "sequence contains ITS2". The stretch from base 1 to 52 matches the Rfam family "5.8S ribosomal RNA", at positions 103 to 154 of the family's 154-position model. The record is from RNAcentral. Lineage: Eukaryota; Fungi.